GACUGUAGAAAAUGAGGAGAGGAGAAAAAUAAGACUGAGAAACAUACAACUCAAAGUGCAUGUUCUAAAACCAGAUGACCCAGAAGAGAACCUUAUCAAAGAAUGCAUUAACAAAGAACACAAACAAACAUUCAGGACCACAAAUUGUUCUAGUUUACAAGACCAAAAAAGAGGAUAUAAUAUUUUCCGUUGCAGAAGAUCUGGAAACGUUUUUGAAAGAAGUCACAGAACUGUGGGAUGUAAAGCAUACAUUUCAUUUAAAAUAAGACAUGAUUGGAAAGGACACAAAAUUGUUGUGCAGAGAAUAUUUAACCAACACAAUGGGCAUGAUAUUUCUGAAGAAGAUGGUCAUUUUCAGCAAAUUAACCCUCAGUUAGUGGAGCAGAUUAAGAAGUGGAUCACAUUAGGGGUAAAACCAGAUGUCAUCCUUCUUCAAGCUAAUGAGUGGUCAAAAGCCAAAGGAGCAGCUAAUUAUCAUUCCAGAGAAUACUUUGUUACACCAGAAGACAUACAUAAUAUCCGUACUAGCAUGCUUCGAGGGAAACACCUAGAUAAAGAUGAUUGUAAGAGUACAGACAAGCUAUUAACUGGUCCUUUCAAAGAUGAUGUCAUAUUUUAUCAGCCACUGGGUAAGGAUCAGGACCUUAUUAUUGUUCUCCAGACUGAGUUCAUGAGAAAAGACUUACAAGACUAUGGGAGUAACAUUUUGUUUUUUGAUGCUACACACUGUGUGAAUCAAUAUUCCUUUCCACUCUAUACAUUGCUUGUGAGAGAUGACCAUGGUCAUGGUGUUCCUGUUGCAUACAUAAUAACGAGCAGGGAGACCCAAGAAACCCUUAAGCUUGCACUUCAGAGGCUACGACCUGUGUUCCCUAAGCCGCCAAGGUGCUUCAUGGUUGACAAAGACAUGAGUGAAAUUAAUGCUUUGAAUGAAGUUUUCCCUGAAUCUGAUGUUCUUCUCUGCUGGUACCAUGUACUUCAGGCUGUCGUUCGGUGGUUGAUGAAGACCGAAUCUGGUGUUACUGGGCCACACUUCUCAAAUACCCGGAGAGAAAUUCUAGAUUUCUUUAAAAAAAUGAAAGCUUGUGCAACGAAGACUGACUUUGAAAGGGUUGCAAAAAAAUUUCUUAGCAACUUUUCUCACUACCAAGAGGUUUGCAAGUACUUCCAGAGGUACUGGGAACCAAUAAGUCAAAGAUGG
Molecule: non-coding RNA, 1201 nt
Organism: Paramisgurnus dabryanus
Lineage: Eukaryota; Metazoa; Chordata; Actinopteri; Cypriniformes; Cobitidae
Source: RefSeq, a predicted model, not a curated record